UAUCUUUAGUUGCCAUCAUUAAGUUGGGCACUCUAAAGAGACUGCCGGUAGGUCAAAACCGGAGGAAGGUGGGGAUGAACGUCAAGUCCUCAUGGCCUUUAUGACCAGGGCUACACACGUACUACAAUGGCCGGUACAAAGGGCAGCGACACAGCGAUGUGAAAGCCAAAUCCCGAAAAGCCGGUCUCAGUCCGGAUUGGAGUCUGCAACUCGACUCCAUGAAGUUGGAAUCGCUAGUAAUCGUGGAUCAGCACGCCACGGUCGAAUACGUUCCCGGGCCUU
Molecule: ribosomal RNA, 282 nt
Filed under: uncultured Desulfofustis sp.
Lineage: Bacteria; Pseudomonadati; Thermodesulfobacteriota; Desulfobulbia; Desulfobulbales; Desulfocapsaceae
Description: partial 16S ribosomal RNA
Rfam family: Bacterial small subunit ribosomal RNA
Source: RNAcentral